UGCAUAAUUCCAAAUAAGCGGAGGAAAAGAAAAUAACAAUGAUUUCCUUAGUAACGGCGAGUGAACAGGAAAAAGCUCAAAGUUGGAACCUGUUUGGCCUAGCUAAACCGGAUUGUAAACUGUAGAAGUGUUUUCCAGGCAAGCCGGACCGAUAAGUCCUUUGGAACAGGGCAUCAUAGAGGGUGAGAAUCCCGUCUUCGGUCUGAGCAUUUGCCUUUUGCGAUACACUUUCAAAGAGUCAGGUUGUUUGGGAAUGCAGCCUAAAUUGGGUGGUAAAUCUCACCUAAAGCUAAAUAUUGGCGAGAAACCGAUAGCGAACAAGUACCGUGAGGGAAAGAUGAAAAGAACUUUGAAAAGAGAGUUAAACAGUAUGUGAAAUUGUUAAAAGGGAACCGUUUGGAGCCAGACUGGCUUGUCUGUAAUCAGUCUAAGCUUCGGCUUGGAUGCACUUGCAGGCUAUGCCUGCCAACGACAAUUUGGCUUGAGGGAAAAAACUAAGGGAAAUGUGGCCCAUCCGCGGGUGUUAUAGUCCCUUAGAAAAUACCUUGGGCUGGAUUGAGGUACGCAGCGAAUGCUAUUUGGCGAGUUGGCUGGGAAUAUUUUCUGAGGUGCUUUGGUACUGAGGUUGAUAUUCCCUAGUUACACUUCUAUUCGCUUAGGUGUGUUGGCUUAAUGACUCUAAAUGACCCGUCUUGAACCACGGGACCAA
RNAcentral lists this ribosomal RNA (709 nucleotides) under Rhizopus azygosporus. RNAcentral describes it as "partial large subunit ribosomal RNA". It matches the Rfam family "Eukaryotic large subunit ribosomal RNA", at positions 29 to 664 of the family's 3401-position model. The record is from RNAcentral. Lineage: Eukaryota; Fungi; Mucoromycota; Mucoromycetes; Mucorales; Rhizopodaceae.